This 394-nucleotide ribosomal RNA is filed under the name uncultured bacterium. Its description in RNAcentral is "partial 16S ribosomal RNA". It matches the Rfam family "Bacterial small subunit ribosomal RNA", at positions 523 to 918 of the family's 1533-position model. The record is from RNAcentral.
AUACGUAGGUGGCGAGCGUUAUCCGGAUUCAUUGGGCGUAAAGCGCGCGCAGGCGGCCGCCUAAGCGGGACCUCUAAUCCUGGGGCUCAACCUCAGGCCGGGUCCCGGACUGGGCGGCUCGGGUGCGGUAGGGGCAGGCGGAAUUCCCGGGGUAGCGGUGGAAUGCGCAGAUAUCGGGAAGAAAACCGACGGCGAAGGCAGCCUGCUGGGCCGACACCGACGCUGAGGCGCGAAAGCCGGGGGAGCGAACAGGAUUAGAUACCCUGGUAGUCCCGGCCGUAAACGAUGCUCGCUAGGUGUGGGGGGAUACCUCCCUCCGUGCCGCAGCCAACGCAUUAAGCGAGCCGCCUGGGGAGUACGGCCGCAAGGCUAAAACUCAAAUGAAUUGGCGGGG